GGCCCCUUGGUCAAGCGGUUAAGACACCGCCCUUUCACGGCGGUAACACGGGUUCGAAUGUUCGAAUCCCGUGUAGGGGUCACCA
This 85-nucleotide transfer RNA is filed under the name Lederbergia galactosidilytica. RNAcentral describes it as "Bacillus galactosidilyticus tRNA-Glu". It matches the Rfam family "tRNA". Rfam says of the family: Transfer RNA (tRNA) molecules are approximately 80 nucleotides in length. Lineage: Bacteria; Bacillati; Bacillota; Bacilli; Caryophanales; Bacillaceae. The record is from RNAcentral.